CUCAUUAGCUUAAGAAAUUGCGAAUCUCAAAAUUCUUUCGAAUCCCCCGUCUCAUAUUCAGCUUUCAUCCACAUUUACGAGAACCAAUUCCAAACUCAAAUCUUUCAAUUACAUAUAUUCAUCUCUUUAUUCUCAAGGAUCAGCCAAUUCACUCUAUAUGUAUCUCUGUGUCUGGUUCAUCCAUUUUUUCUCCAGAAGAAUAAAAAUCAAUUUUUUUUUAGCUUUUAUGAUUCCAUACUCUUAUCUCUCUCCCUCCAUCUCCGCCGAUUCCAUCUCUUAAUUUUCCCCUUUCCCUGUAAAAGAAAGAGCCUUUCUGCUCCUCCUUCAAUUCCACCAUAAAACCCUGGAAGCAAGCUCCAUCCUUUAACUUCGUAAUGUCAAAAUCUCAUCUUUGUUUCCUCUGUUUCCUCCUCACUAAACUUCGCAGCGUCUCCGACCAGCGUCGACGCGGAACUAUGCAAGCCCUCAAAUCGAGCCUAAACCUCAGUAAAGACAUAGACUGGUCCAACCCCAAACCUUGUAAAUGGCCAACCGUUUAAUGCGAGACAAGCAACAGAGUCACGAGAAUCCAACUCAAAACCAAAGGAAUCUGAGGAACCCUCCCUCCGAAACUCCAAACCCUCACAGAGCUAAUUGUCCUGGAGCUUUUCCAGAACCGAAUCUCCGGUCCGAACCCCGAUCUCUCCGGUUUAACCCGGUUACAGACCCUGAACCUCCACGACAACCUCUUCGACUUUGUCCACAAGAAGCUUACCUCGAGAACAACCCUUUCUCUCCCUGGGAGAUGACCAUGGACAAGCAGAAGACCGGGUUAGCCAUCCACAUUUGCCACAAGUCUAGCUAAUUUUCUAUUUUUUUAACUUAUGUACGUAUAUAGCAACAUACACUUGGUAAAUACUUUGCUACCAUUCAAUUUUAUCUGUCAUCUACAAUGUCUAGACAGACAAUGACUCUGCUUGUAUUGCUAAUGGUUUGUUUGUACUAUCAGAUAAGCUUGCAUCUGAAUCGUAUGUCAACUGGACUUAGUCUGCCAAAUAGAUGUAUAGCCUGCCUCUUCUUUUGUUUGCUUGCUAAUUGUUUUAUUAUCCUCUAUGUUUCUAUUUUACAGUGUCGUAAAUGUUGGUUCUCUUAGUCUUGUUUUAUUAUCCUCUGUUUGAUGGCAGGUACUUUUCUACAAGUUAUGAUUUUCUAUCUACUAGUUAUGAACGUAUAGAAACUUUGCUUCCUCAGUUGUGCUUCAGUUGUUCUGAUAUAUGAAAAUUCUUGUUAUUUUGAGAGAUAGAGAAAGAUCUGAACCAAAGCCAGGCCUGAAGUAAUGGGGGGGAAAAGGCAAAAAGGCAACGUUCAUUUCAGGAACAGAGGCUGCAAAGAAGUGUUUGAUUGUUUUCAAUUUUCAAUAGUUUUAGGAGUGUUCUAUUGUUUUUACCACCAUCGUCACCACCAUUGUCGUCCGACACCACGACCACAACAGUUCGACCUCUCUGCCUCUCUCUCAAUCUGUUUUGAACUCAUUUUGUCGUGAGCAGAGUUGGUGGUCGUGAGCAGAGGAUCAGUUCCUUGCCUCUCCUUGGGGUUGAUCAAUUCUAGAUAUAACCAGAUACUUAUAACUCUGGUUGCUACUUUUUGUUUUCUUAACCUGUUGUUUUCUUUUAUCGAUUUCUGCAUCUAUGUAAACGGAUCACAACUUUAUCAAUAUACAUGCUAACUUUAAUUUUAA
RNA transcript from Brassica napus (rape), 1717 nucleotides. RefSeq lists it as uncharacterized. NCBI's taxonomy places the organism in Eukaryota, Viridiplantae, Streptophyta, Magnoliopsida, Brassicales, Brassicaceae. The record is from RefSeq and is a predicted model, not a curated record. The transcript has 2 exons.